Molecule: long non-coding RNA, 21357 nt
Filed under: Nicotiana tabacum (common tobacco)
Lineage: Eukaryota; Viridiplantae; Streptophyta; Magnoliopsida; Solanales; Solanaceae
Description: long non-coding RNA (NTAB_LNC016918)
Source: RNAcentral
CUCAAACAAAAUACACAACGUACAAAAGAUUUAUGACCCCGGGAUAAAGUGGGGCUCACCAAGUCAGCUGGGAAGAAGGUGUACUGCUAUCACUGAUCAAUAUCCCCUACUGUGGCACCACCUGCAUCCAUUUAAAGAUGCAGCGCCCCCGGUAAAAGGGACGUUAGUAUAAUCAAAUAGCACUAGUAUGUAUAACUAAACACCCUCUCAAUAGAAUGACAAAUAAUACAAACAAGAUUAUCAUAAUAUCAAUGAAAGCCUUAAUCAACAUCAAACCUCAAUUUAGGAUCAAGACACUGUUCAAAUUAAUUUCCAUAUCUCAUAUUGGGAGAUUUUUAUUAUCGAUAUACCAUUGUCCAUAAUACCAUUAUUCACAAUACCAGUACCACUGUAUUCUCAGUAUGGAGACCGAUCACGACUCGAUCGACUAAGCUAUCUCAUUAGAGACAUCAACCAGAAUUACUCUCAAUAUCAAUACCACCAUCUUUAACACGGAGUCCGAUCAUGACCCGAUCGGCUAGGCUAUCCAUUAGGGACAUCGACCACAAUCACAACUUAAAUUACAAUUUCCAGCACAAUUCAUAAGUGGGGAUUUUAACCUAUUAUUUGCUCUCUUUUACUUGUGUUUUAAGCCAAAAAUUCUUGAAGGUAUUCCCGAAAACUAAUAAAAUAUGAUUGCUUGCAGAAAUUAUUCAAAAUGAGCUAAAGGAAUCAAAAUCAACUCGCAAAAGAGUCAAAAUUUGAACAAAAACCAAGGCUGGGCAAAGAGGUCUGAAGCGCGGACCGCACAAAUAUUGUGCGGCCGCGAAAGCCAUGAUGCCGUCGCGAUCAAAAUUACGCGUUCCGUGAGAGGGAGAUCCAGAGAGUGAUUUUUGGGCUAAAUGAUGAGCGCGGACCGCACUAGAAAUAUACAGCCGCGAAAGUCCCUGUGCGGCCGCGAUUGAAAUUACAUGGACCGCGAUGACUGAGAUUUAGAGAGCCGACAACUUGAGCAAAAGUGAGAAGUGCGGACCGCACCAGAAUUGUGCGGCCACGAAAUUCCUUGUGCGGCCGCAAUCGAAAUUAUAUGGUCCGUGAAAUGAAGAACAAGAGAUAGAUCCAAAAGAGAAGAAUGCGGAUCGCAUCAGAAAUAUACGACCGCAAAAGCAAGAGUGCGGCCGCACUUAGAAAUAUGCGGCCGCACAACCUCCGCAGGGGCAUUCUUGUCCGAUAUUUUAAGCUCAGUAUAAAUAGAACUUUUUGUCAUUUUUAGGGGAUAGCAGGUUAUGUAAUGUUUUGUAUAUGGCUGACUUUUCGGUUUUCAAAUUUUUUGUAAUAGAUUCACUUUUUAACAUUAGAUUUUCAUUUCAUAAAUUAAUAUUAUGGAUUUUAUCUUCAUUUCAUCUUUAAUUUCUGUUAUUUCCAUGAGUAGCUAAACCCAUAGCUAGGGUUGUAACCCAACCCUAGUGUGGGUAUUUAAUGGGUGUUUGAUUUUAGGGCUUGAAUGUGAAUGAGUUAGUGAUAUUUAGCCUAGUUCUUGCUAUAACUCAAGAAUUAAUGGUUGCAAACAUUGAUUCAUGCUUUUAUGACUUAGUCUCUACUUGAGAAAGAGGGACUAAGUCUAGGAAAACUAGGCUAACAAGGAAUUGGGGUGAACUCAAAAAAUUGAUAACCCCAAUUAAAGGGUUAAACCUAGAGAUAGUAAUACCCAAUUUGAGCCAAUAUCAUUUGAUUUGCAUGAAUUCCCAUUUAGACUUGAGAAAGGUAAAUUUGGUAAAAUUACUCAAACUACCGAGAGGUAUAGAGUGAGUACCCGGGUGUAAUAGCUAUAAUAAAAUCGCAAUUAAUCAAGCUUGCUCUAGAUUUUGCUACCCGUUAUAUAUCCACCUAGGUAGAAGUCACUACCCUUAUCUCUUUAAACAUUUGAAAAACAACAACAAAAAUAUUGUCCUUAGUUUCAAUUAUUGCAAUCUUUAGAGUAAAGUUAAAAAUAGAAAAACUAAUCAAGUUUGUGGAAGUGCAAUUAAAGCCAAAACUUGCAAAUAACUUAGAUAUACACCUAAUCCCAUAUUCUAACUCUCUGUGGAUUCGAUCCCGGCCUGUAUUGGGUUUAUUAUUGCAUCGAUCUCCUCGCUACUCAAUUAUGGUGUAGUUUUGGAAUAGAUCAAUUUUUGGCGCCGUUGUCGGGGAGUUAAAUGGAUUUAGCUAUAUAUCUAGGUAUUUGUAUGUUUUGUCUUCCUUUCCUUCCGAGUCACUAAUUUUGUUUGUGAAUUGCUUUUAGGUACAAAAUGGCCCUUAACAAUGAGCCCCCCCAAAAAUUUACCAUUGGGGGAGGAGGUAGAUGACGAUCAAGUGGAUGAGGUUCAUCCCGAGCCUUAAGUAAACAGGCGAGGCCGACCACCUCCACAAAGGGCAACGCACCAGGUGUUGCCGAAUGAGGGCUAUGCAAGUGCAAUAGUCCCGCCCCGGAUUAGGGCGGGCAACUUCCAAAUUACCAACGUGAUGCUUACACUGCUUGAGCAGUGGGGCUUUUUCACUGGAGCUCCACACCAAAAUGCCUACAAGCACCUCAAGGGGUUCGUUGAUACUUGUUGGGGGAGCAAGCAACCAAAUGUCACAGAGGAUGCACUGCGGUUAAGGCUAUUUCCCUUUUCUCUAUGGGGAAAGGAUUUGGACUGGUCAGAGAGAUUGCCCAAUCAUUCUAUCCAUACUUGGGAUGAGUUGUCCGAGAAGUUCAAUGCCAAAUUCUUCUCUCCGUGGCACAUGGCUAUACUAAGGGAUGAAAUUUUAGCUUUCAAACAAGAACCCAAUGAGCCAUUGCACGAGAUUUGGGAAAGAUAUCGCGCCAUGAUCAAAGAAUGCCCGAACAAUGAUAUGACCGAGGCCAUGAUCUAAUAGACCUUCUACAGGGGGAUCAACACAACAAAUCAGUGUAUGGUAAAUCAACUUGCUGGGGGUAACUUCAUGAACACGCCUUAUUCUGAAGCUUGUGAAAUCUUGGAUGAGAUGGCAGACACCUCUUCGGCAUGGCAAAGUAGAGCCAAUGUUCCUCAGGGUGACCCAAAUGUUAUUCACCUACACAAGGAGUUACAUGAUCAUGGCCAAUCUAUUGCGGAGUUGACAACCACCAUGAACCAAUUGGCCAAGUCUCAGCUUCAACAGGUUCAAGGGUCGAAACAGGUGAAUGCUAUGGAAGGGAUGAACAUAAUGGUAAACAAGAGACGACAACGAGGUCAACAAGUACAAAACCAUCCGGAACAAUUUGAGCAAAAUAAUAGUGGGUAUAAUCAAGAUGAUUCAUAUGAUGAGAAAGAUGAAGAGGUUCAAUAUGUCAACAAUUAUCAAGGUCAAAGAAGCAAUGCUCCAAAUCAACAACAAUGGAGAUCACAAGGAAACCAAGGAAACUGGAACAACCAAGGCCACCAAGGAAAUUGGAGUGGUGGCAACAACAAUAAUCAAAGCAAUUGGGGUAAUCAAGGAAAUUCGGGAGGAAAUAAUCAAGAUAAUUGGGGUGGCAACAAUCAAGCAAUUGGGGGAACAACAAUAAUCAAGGGAGUUGGAAUAAUAGCAAUCAAGGAAAUCAGGGGUCAGGUUUUCAGAGGUCCCCGAUGUAUCAACAACCAAACAACCCACCUCCAUAUCCGUCACAAGGUCCUAGUUCUUCCAAUAAUGAAAUGGGACGGAUUAAAAACAUGUUUAAGCAAAUGAUGGAGAAAAACACAGACUCCGAUGCCCAAUUAGCCUCCUACAACACUUCUAUCCGCAACUUGGAGGGUCAACUUGGCCAAAUUUCUCAAGAUUUAAAUACUCACCAAAAGGGGGCACUACCUAGUGAUACGGUGGUGAACCCAAAAGGUAGAAAUACGGGGCAUGCAAUGGUCGUGACAACAAGAAGUGGGAAAGGUGGAGUUGCUAGCACCUCAAACCAAAGAAGACAUGUGGGUGAUGAUGUGUUUGUACAAGAUGAUGAUGAGCCAAGCCAUGAUGUUCAAGCUAAUUAAGAAGCGAGGAUUGAUAUUGAUGAAAAUGUGGAGGAGAUGCAAGAAGAAGUGAAAUCGUCUAGGGAGCACGUGACUGACCUACCGGAAUCGGUAGUGCCAAAGGCUAAGGUACCAAUGCCAAGGCCUCCUCUUGCAUACCCUCAAAGACUUGCAAAGAAAAAUAAUGAGAAUCAAUUCAAGAAAUUCAUUGAUAUUAUGAAAAAUUUUUCCAUAAAUGUGUCGUUGGUUGAAGCCUUAGAACAAAUGUCGGGAUAUGCCAAGUUCAUGAAGGAUUUGGUAACAAAGAAGACAUCAAUGAACUGUGAAAUGAUCAAAAUAACACAUCAAGUGAGUGCUAUGGGUGCACUCCAUGGCUCCAAAGUUGGAAGACCCCGUGCUAUCACAAUCCCGUGCACUAUUGGAAGUGUCAAUUUCGCCAAAGCUCUAUGUGAUUUGGGGGCAAGCAUUAACUUGAUGCCCUAUUCUGUGUUCAAAACGUUGGGGAUUGUGCAACCAAGACCCACAUCCAUGAGGUUGCAAAUGGCGGAUCGUACAAUGAAAAGGACAAUGGGAAUAAUUGAUGGCGUGUUAGUUAGGGUCGACAAGUUCAUCCUUCUCGCAUAUUUUGUGAUACUUGACUGUGAGGUUGCCUACGAGGUGCCAAUCAUUAUGGGGAGACCUUUCCUUGCUACAGGGAAGGCCUUUAUUGAUAUGGAAGCUGGAGAGAUCACCUUCUGGGUGGGCGAUGAAAAAGUGGUGUUCCAUGUUUGUAAAUCAAUGAGGCAGCCAAAUAGCAACGAAGUGUGUUCGUUCAUGGACCUUGUGACCGAAGUAAUUGUUGAUGACACAAGUGCUGUGAUAAAUGUGGAAGAUACCUUGGAAAUUGUGUUGUUGAAUCAUGAUGAGGAUGAGAAGGAAGGCUUUGUAAAAUAUGUCAAUGCUUUGCAAGGAAUGGGAUCAUAUACUCAUAAGCCCAGAAAACAUUCCUUGGAUCUCGAAAACCGGAAAACUCCACCAACAAAGCCCUCAAUCGAGGAACCUCCCACCUUGGAGCUAAAGCCUUUGCCUUCACACCUCAGGUAUAAGUUUCUAAGCCCUUGUUCCAUUUUACUUAUUAUUCUUUCCUCGUGCAUAACUAACGUGCAGGUAGAUGCCACCCUUGCGUUGCUUCAAAGUAGGAAGAAAGUAAUAGGUUGGACAUUGGCAGAUAUUCAGGGUAUAAGCCCCGCCUUUUGCAUGCACAAAAUCAUUUUGGAGGAGGAUGACAAACCCUCCGUGGAACAUCAAAGACGAUUGAAUGAGGCCAUGCAAGAUGUAGUAAAGAAAGAGAUCAUCAAGUGGUUGGAUGCCGGGGUGGUUUACCCCAUUCCUGAUAGUUCGUGGACCUCACCAGUGCAAUGUGUCCCAAAGAAAGGGGGCAUGACUGUGAUCACAAAUGACAAAAAUUAAUUUAUACCCAUAAGAACUGUCACCGGGUGGAGAGUGUGCAUGGAUUAUAGAAAGCUCAACAAAGUUAUGCGGAAAGACCAUUUUCCGCUUCCAUUUCCUGAUCAAAUAUUAGAUAGGUUAGCCGGACGUGCGUAUUAUUGCUUCUUGGAUGGAUAUUCCGGAUAUAACCAGAUUCUAAUUGCACCUGAAGACCAAGAAAAGACCACCUUCACUUGUUCAUAUGGCACUUUUACAUUCUCGCGGAUGCCAUUCGGGUUAUGCAAUGCACCGGCAACUUUUUAGCGGUGUAUGAUAUCUAUCUUCACCGAUAUGGUGGAGGACUUUCUCGAGGUUUUCAUGGAUGAUUUCUCUAUCGUGGGGAAUUAUUUUGAAGAGUGCUUAGAUAACUUGGAUAAGGUAUUGGCACGCUGUGAAGAAACUAACUUCGUGCUGAAUUGGGAGAAGUGUCACUUUAUGGUCAACGAGGGCAUUGUCCUCGGUCACAUGAUUUCCAAGAAUGGUAUUGAGGUUGAUAAAGCAAAAAUUGAAAUGAUAUCCAAACUCCCUCCCCUUACUUCCGUAAAGGGAGUGAGAAGCUUUCUAGGUCAUGCGGGGUUUUACCGCCGAUUCAUCAAGGACUUUUCUAAGGUUGUAAACCCCUUGUGCAAACUAUUAGAGAAAGAUGCCAAGUUCCUUUUCAAUGAAGAUUGUAUGAAGGCAUUUGAACUACUAAAGUAUAAGUUGACUACCACUCCUAUUAUCACCGCGCCAAAUUGGAGCUUACCAUUUGAGUUCAUGUGCGAUGCAAGCGAUGUGGCGGUUGGUGCGGUAUUGGCCAACGAAUUAAUAAAAUCUUUCAUCCGAUCUACUAUGCUAGCAAGACCAUGAACGAGGCCCAAGUCAACUAUACGGUGACCAAGAAAGAACUCCUAGCCAUUGUCUUCUCUAUGGAGAAGUUCUGCCCAUACCUAAUGGGUACAAAGGUGAUUGUUCACACCGACCAUGCGGCACUUGGUUAUUUGAUGAGCAAGAAAGACUCUAAGGCAAGUUUGAUGCGGUGGGUGCUUCUAUUGUAGGAGUUUGAUCUAGAGAUUAAAGACCGAAAGGGUAGUGAAAAUCAAGUGGAGGACCACUUGUCCCGAUUGGAGGAGGAGGGGAGGCCACAUGAUGGCCUUGAGAUCAAUGAUUCAUUUCUUGAUGAACAACUUCUUUCCAUUUCUAUGAUUGGGAUGCCACGGUUUGCUGAUGUGGCCAACUAACUAUCUAGUGAGUGGCAUUGUUCCGAAUGAGUUCUCCUCAAACCAAAGGAAGAAGCUCAAACGGGACUGCCUGGACUACUAUUGGGAUGAGCCAUAUCUCUUCAAAAUUUGCACUGAUGGUGUUAUCCGGAGAUGUGUUCCAGAAGAAGAGCAAUUGGGUAUUCUUGAAGCUUGCCUUUCUUCGCCCUAUGGUGGUCACCAUUGUGGAGCGAGAACUGCUACAAAGGUCCUAAGCUGUGGAUUCUAUUGGCCUACCUUGUACAAAGAUGCUAGCGAGCUCGUUAAGCAUUGUGAUAAAUGUCAAAGGGCCGAUGGGAUCUCCAAGAAAAAUGAGAUACCUCUCACCACCAUCCUGGAGAUUGAUAUNNNNNNNNNNNNNNNNNNNNNNNNNNNNNNNNNNNNNNNNNNGAUAGUUAUGGAUUACGUUUCCAAAUGGGUUGAAACCGUGGCUUUGCCCAACAAUGAAGCUCGGAGUGUGUUAGAUUUCUCGAAGAAGAACAUAUUUACAAGGUUUGGUACUCCAAGGGCCAUCAUUAGUGAUGGUGGUUCACAUUUUUGCAACAAAGCCUUUGACACUUUACUCUCCAAGUACGAUGUCACUUACAAGGUGUCAACCCCCUAUCACCCCCAGGCAAGUGGACAGGUUGAAGUCUCCAACAGGGAGAUCAAGAGUAUUCUAUCCAAGACUGUCAAUGCAAAUCAGACUGAUUGGUCAAGGAAACUUGACGAUGCGCUUUGGGCCUAUAGAACAACUUACAAGACUCCAAUUGGUAUGUCUCCGUAUCGGUUGGUGUUUGGGAAAGCAUGUCACCUUCCGGUGGAAUUAGAGCAUAAGGCCAUGUGGGCGUUGAAGAAAUUGAACCUUGAAUGGGAUGUAGCUGCCAAUCUUCAGGUGGAGCAAUUAAUGAACUUGAUGAAUUCCGGUUCCAUGCUUACUCCAGUUCGUCCUUGUAUAAGGACAAGAUCAAGUACCUACAUGAUAAGUAUAUCCGGAACAAAGAAUUCAAAGAAGGUGACCUUGUUCUUUUAUUCAACUCUCGGUUACGGAUGUUUCUCGGAAAGCUUAAAUCAAAGUGGAGUGGUCCUUUUGAAGUGGUACAUGUGACUCCUUUUGGUGCUGUUGAUUUGAAAAAUAAGAAUGGUGAGAUUUUUAGAGUCAAUGGGCACCGGGUGAAGCACUACCUUGGUAAGGUUGAUAAUGGCCACGUUGUGGCAUUGCUCCAUUUCAAAUGAAUGAUGGUAACAUGUGUCGUGCCACGACAUUAAAUGGGGCGCUUCUUGGGAGGCUACACAUGUAUUUUUCUUUCUUUUGAUUUUCUUGUUAGAUUAGGCAUUAUUUUGGACUAACUAGUUGCAAAGCGUAUGCAAGAAUUAGGUGUGCAGUGCAGAAAAUGGACAAGAAAAAAAAUUGGCCAAGUAGUAAAAUUGUGCAGACCGCGCCAGAAUUAUGCAGCCGCACAAGCCCUUCGCGGCUGCACAAUUCUGUGUGCGGUCACACAGCUGAAAGAUGGAAAAUGCCAACUCUCUGAAGUUUGGCCUGACAAAAUCCCUUAAAGAUUCGCGGCGGCGAUCAAAAUUUUUGCGGACCGCACAGAUUAUGCGGCCGCAGCCAUUUUUAUGCGGACCGCAUCACAAAAUCAGCUGUCGAGUUAGAAAAGGUAAAGAGUGCGGACCGCGCCAAAAUUGUGCGGCCGCACUUAGGUAAGUCGGUGUGGCCAAAGUAUAAAUAGGAGUUUUCGAGAUUAUUCAUACUUUACACUCUCUGACCUCCCAAGCACAGUGCACUCUUUCUUGUUUUCAAUCUCAUCCCAUACUCAUCAAUUGUUAAUUUCCUACUACAUUUCAUUACUGGUAUGUUAAUUUCAAUGAAUUAAUUUCAUCUUUUUCUUUUCUUUCCUCCUUGUUGUAGUUUUCUUUUUAUCUAGGAUUAAAUUUAUGCCAAAAAUGUCAAAUUGAUGCUUAAUUCUUGUUUAGAAGCAUGUGGGUAGUGUUUGAAUACAUAAUGGGGUCUGGGGUUAGUAGCCUUUAUUGUUCAAUUGCCACAAAUCUUGCCUAAUUAGUUAAAACCCUAGUAUUAAUCAUACCUCAGUGCCGCUCUGAUUUGAAUUUCGCGGCCGCACAUAUUUUUAUGCGGUGCGCGCUAGGGUAUGCGGCCGCAUACAAAAUUGUGCGGUCCGCGAUACCCUAGGUUGAAGGCACUUGUCAUUGCUAAAUUUGUGCGGCCACACUCAAUUUUGUGCGGUCCGCGUUUGGUUUUUGUGGCCGCACUCAAUUUUGUGCGGUCUGCACAAUUAAACUUCAGAGACCCAACAAAUCGAUUAUGCAGCCGCACUCAAUUUUGUGCGGUCCGCGAUGGGUUUUCGCGGCCGCACUCAAAUGUAUGCGGUCCGCGCUAAGGUAACUUCAGAGAACCAAUAGUCUGAACCUGGGAUUUCCGUGACCGCACUCAAUUUUGUGCGGUCCGCGAUGGGUUUUCGCGGCCACAAUCAUUUUUGUGCAGUCCGCGAUGGGCAGUCCGCGGCCGCACUCAAUUUUGUGCGGUCCGCACUGCCCUGUUCUGAGAAUUAGUGUCUUUCUUUCCAACUAUAAUUCAAUAACACAUGUUGAACCCCAAUUUUAACUGACUUUCACUACUUGAUUGUUGCAGACAAUGGUGUGUUCACGUGGUCGAGGUGAUGCUUCCAAAGGGAGGGCAGAAUCCUCACGAGGUCGGAGUAGCAGAAAGCCUAACAUACCACUAUCAGUCCAGAAAGUCUUGGGCAAAAAGACUAUUAUUGGUAGACCACCUCCGAAAUCCUCAGACACCAGUGAAUACCUCCCAUCCCGGAAAACGUCUGAGGGGGAUUCUGUACAACCACAACCGGGGGCACAAUCACAACAAUUCCCCGAUAGACUCCGUUUAGUCGAUGAACCUACCUCCUCCUCUAGUUCUUCUGAUGGCUCAGAGGGAGGUAGUCAGGCAUCUGGACCACCUGCCACAACAGCUAUAAUACCCGCCACAACAGCUACCCCAAUUAAUUUAGAUGAUGAUGAUGAGGUCCCGGAUGACGGGAGAGGGGGUGACACAAUGAUGGGAGGCUUGGCUAGAUCAAAGAGGUCGGAGGUGUGGGCUGAUAGAUUUGUAAGUAAGAAGGCGUAUGGAAAAUUUCAGGAAUGGUGGCCCCAAAGGUCGCUCACUCUUGAGCGAUAAUUCAUAACCAAAGACCUAAGCCAGAACAAGCCGAAUGUCCUACGGUAAUUUACGGAGAGAAAAAGAUGGAAAUGGUUCACCUGCCGGAUGCAUGAUGCAAAUGAAUACCUUGUCAAGGAAUUUUAUGCCAAUGUUGCCCACAUCAAAAAGGGUACAAAGGUGACGAAGGUCCGAAACUUGAAAAUCCGGUUUGAUGGCCACGCACUGAACACAUAUGUAGGGUUUGAAGAUGUUGAGGCAGUGCAAUACCUGGAGAAGCUAGCCUUGGUUGAUGCAAUUCGCCCAUGGCUUGCUGAGAUAAUUGCUAUUCCAGGGACAACACCUGCAUGGCUCACAACAGGAGUUCAAAUUGUCAGAGUCACCCUUAACUCUGAAGCAAAAGGGUGGGAAACAUUCGUGUGCAGCCGUUUUGACCCGUGCCAACAUGAGAAUGUCCUUCCACUCCCCCGGGCAGUAUUGGUAGCUUCCAUCAUGGCCGGCUAUCCUAUUAAUGUGGGAAACUUGAUGUCCUACAACAUCUCCAAUGCAGUCCAGAAAGAAGAGAGAUCGUAUCCCUACCCCAACUUCCUCACAGAGUAUUUCCAAGACCAGGGGGUAGAGCCGAGACAUUUUGAUGUAAAGGUGAAGGCUAAAAAGCCUUUCUCAUGGUACCACCUCCAGGGAGCGGACAACCCUAAAUUUAGGGGUAAACCCACUACCUCCACUAGCCAGUCUAAAGAGCCAGGGGUAGUGGUCAUUGGGUCAGUUGCCGAGCCCUCCACAGCAGCCGGUACUUCUGCCGUAGCAGUAGCCAUGCCUCCUCCUUCCUCCGGACCUUCCCUCUCAGUGCCAUUGUCAGUGCCCAUAUCUUCUACAUACCCUCAGACUGCACUGUGGGUUUCAUAGACACUAUCCAGUCUCAACAACUGGAUGCAGGCAGCUACCACAAAGCUGACUGCCAUAUCCAAUGCAUUGGCAACACAGUCUUCAGCCUCAUUAGAGCUUCAGGUACCUCCAUCAGUGAAUGACUCUUUGAAGAAGAUUCUGGACAACCAGUUUAAGAUUCUGGACGACCAGAAGAAGAUCUGGGAGACUCUUGACACACAUGGGAGGAUUAUCAAGGAUUUGGGGAAGCAGGUGAAGAAGAUGCGUAAGACUUAGGCAUCUAAGGAGUCGAUGGAGAAGUUGAGCAAAGAGGUUGAGAAGAUUGCUUCUACUGGUGAUAUCCCACUAGACUUGCUCAUAGAGGAGACAGUCCCAGCAGUACAUGCAGCAGUGCCCGAGGCAUCAGAUGCAGCAGCCAGCCAGUAUGAGGAGCCGGCUACCACUGCACAUACUGUUGCAGAGCUGAUUCAUAUGCUCAGCAACCCCGUAAUCCCCCAAUCAGAGGAUGUGGAGAUCCAGUUACAGGAUACGAAUGGUGCUAAUGACUCGAUGCAGACAGAGACCACAUAGGGAGUUUUCCCUACUCUUUAUCUCCUUUUUCCUGUUCUUAUUUGUUAUAAGCAUUGAGGACAAUGCUAUUUUUCGGUUGGGGGUGGUCCAUUUUGAUUUGAUGACAUUUGGUAUGUAAUAACCAUUAUACUAUUUUUCUUUGUCUUUAUUGUUAUCGUUAUUGAUCUUUAUUUUCACUUUUGGUAUGUAUAUAUUCUCACCAUUCAACGUAUAUAUUCAUUCCCAUUAUGUAUAUAUUCGCUUUACUUCAUUUUGCACAUAUUCAGUCUACUUUCCGUAGUUUACUUCAUAACUACUUUCGUUAUUUUUCCUUAGUAGCAUAGCUUCUUAUUUACUUUAGUAGCUUCUUUUUAAGUUGUUAGCUUCUUUUUACUUUUUGUGUGAACUAUAAGCCUUUGGUUUACUUAAUGCCAUGGUUCUUUCCAAAGGUGGAUGUGUGUGAACCGGGUGGCUCUUCCCAUGACAACCUUCUUAAGGGAUUGAGUCCAUUUUCUUUAUGUUUUUUGUAUAUAUAGUAGUAAUGAAUAAAAGUGUCUCAAGAAGGCUUCACUUGGUACUAAUACAUUUACCUUCGACCUUAUGGUUAGAAACAAGUUGAUUGGCAAAGAAUAGCUCUAGCUGUGACCUUUAUACUCUUGUGUUGGCUAAAACAAUCAUUGAGUGAUUUCUUUGAGCCAUUUGUGAUUUUCAAUCUUAGCUAGGGUUGUUGUGGGCCCUCGACUAUGUUCUCUUUAACAAUCCAGCAGCUUGAGAGGUGAGGUAUUGAAUUGCAAGUCCAAGUUCUGUGUCAAUAAGUCUAGAACUUGCCCUGAAUGUUUGUCUAGCAAAAUUCUAAGUGUAGCUCGACUUGAGAAAUGAUUGUAGGCUCUCCUUAAUCCAAUUUGAAACUUGAAAGCUUCUGUAGCCUACUAAUGUGAUAUCCCUAGUCAACCCCUUUGAGCAGAAGCCCUUUUUCAUUCAAUAGCCAUGUUACAAACCUUUAUCCAUUUUAUAAUGACCUCUCUUCGCACCCGAUCUUUCCUUAGCAUUCUUGAUACAAUUGGCAAAAGCAUAAGUUUGGGAGAGAGAUGAGGAAUGUGAAAGUGAUAAAAGGUACAAAGAACAAAAAAGAGUGACAUGGAAAAGGAAGAAAAGCCAAAAAGAAAUAUUCCAAAAAAGAAAGUGAAUAAAGUAGAAAGUCGAAGGGAUUCAAAGAAAGCAAGGAUGAAAAGCAUAGAGUGCUUAGAAAAGGAGAAAAAUGAUUAUCAUGAGCAAGAAAGAGUGACAUUACAUCUCUCUAGUUCCACUAAGGAAGAAGAAAAUGACUCCAAGAGUCAAGAAAGUAUGAGCCAAAAAAAGAGGAAAUGGAGUGCUUAAGGAAAGAUGAAACCAUCAUAUGCCAAUAAGUCCUACCAUGAUCCAAAAGCCUUCAUUACGUUCUCGCAAAAACCCUAUAUGAUUUCAAGUUGAGUGAGCUUAUAUUAGUGGUGAUUUACAUAAGGGUCAGGCUUAUGGUACUUAGAGCACGACUUGUGACAUUCUUUUGAGAGAGAUGAGCGCACUUCUUCACAAUCUUUGUUUUGAGGGUUACAUUCUAAAGUGAGAUUUGCUCAUGGAGAGUAGAGGAGGAGGAGUUUAGGUUCCACAAUGACCUAUGUGAUAGAGCGAGCUUCCUUGAUGAAUUAAGUCAACUCUUGAUACUCUAGUGUCACAGUAGAACUAUGGUUCUCAAAAGGUCAAAAACAUGGUGUUGUUGAUAAUUCAUUUGUGUUGAGGGUAAUUGUUAGUCCCAAUUGAUGCAUGAUUGGUUUACCUUAGGCCAGCUGAAAUAUCAUUUUUUCUAGUGGAGGUGGAAAGUACCUUAUUUGCUUGAGGAUAAGCAAAAGCUUAAGCUUGGGGGAGUUGAUAAGUGGGGAUUUUAACCUAUUAUUUGCUCUCUUUUACUUGUGUUUUAGGCCAAAAAUAAUUGAAGGUAUUCCCGAAAACUAAUGAAAUAUGCUUGCUUGCAGGAAUUAUUCAAAUUGAGCCAAAGGAAUCAAAAUCAACUCACAAAGGAGUCAAAAGUUGAACAAAAACCAAGGUUGGGCAAAGAGGUUUGAAGCGCGGACCGCACAAAUAUUGUGCGGCUGCGAAAGCCAUGAUGCGGCCGCAAUCAAUAUUACGUUGUCCGCGAGAGGGAGAUCCAAAGAGUGAUUUUUGGGCUAAAUGAUGAGUGCGGACCGCACCAGAAAUAUACGGCCGCGAAAGUCCCUGUGCUGCCGCGAUUGAAAUUACACGGACCGCGAUGACUGAGAUUCAAAGAGCUGACAACUUGAGCAAAAGAGAGAAGUGCAGACCGCACCAGAAUUGUGCGGCUGCGGAAUUCCUUGUGUGACCGCGAUCGAAAUUAUGCGGUCCGUGAAAUGAAGAACCAAAGACAGAUCCAAAAGAGAAGAACGCGGACCGCAUCAGAACUAUGCGGCCGAGAAAGCAAGAGUGUCGUCGCCCUCAGAAUUACGCGGCCGCACAACCUCCGCAGGGGCAUUCUUGUUCGAUAUUUUUAGCUCAAUAUAAAUAGAACUUUUGUCAUUUUUAGGGGAUAGAAGGUUAUGUGAUGUUAUGUAUACAGCUGACUUUUCGGUUUUUAGAGUUUUUGUACUAGAUUCACUUUUUAACAUUAGAUUUUCAUUCCAUAAAUUAAUAUUAUGGAUUUUAUUUUCAUUUAAUCUUUAAUUUAUGUUAUUUCCAUGAAUAGCUAAACCCAUAGCUAGGGUUGUGACCCAACCCUAGUGUGGGUAUUUAAUGAGUGUUUGAUUUUAGGGCUUGAAUGUGAAUGGGUUGGUAAUUUUUAGCCUAGUUCUUGCUAUAACUCAAGAAUUAAUGGUUGCAAACAUUGAUUCAUGCCUUUAUGACUUAGUCUCUACUUGAGAAAGAGGGACUAAGUCUAGGAAAACUAGGCUAACAAGGAAUUGGGGUGAACUCAAGAAAUUGAUAGCCCCAAUAAAAGGGUUAAACCUAGAGAUAGUAAUACCCAACUUGAGUCAAUAUCAUUUGAUUUGCAUGAAUACCCAUUUAGACUUGAGAAAGCUAAAUUGGGUAAAAUCACCUCAAACUACCGAGAGGUAUAGAGUGAGUACCUGGGUGUGAUAGCUAUAUUACUAUCCCAACUAAUCAAGUUUUUCCUAGAUUUUGCUACCCGUUAAAUAUCCAUCUAGGUAGAAGUCACUACCCUAUUCUCUUUAAACAUUUGAAAAACAACAAUAAAAAUAUUGUCCUUAGUUUCAAUUAUUGCAAUCUUAAGAGUAAAGUUAAAAAUAGAAAAAUCAAUCAAGUUUGUGGAAGUGCAAUUAAAGCCAAAACUUGCAAGUAACAUAGAUAUACACCUAACCCCAUAUUCUAACUCUCUGUGGAUUUGAUCCCGACCUUUGUUGGGUUUAUUAUUGCAUCGACCGCCUAGCUACUCAAUUGUGGUAUAGGUUUGGAACAGAUCAACAAUCACCACCAUAUGUACGGCAUGGUGACUGAUCACGAUCCGAUCGGCUAGGCUGUNNNNNNNNNNNNNNNNNNNNNNNNNNNNNNNNNNNNNNNNNNNNNNNNNNNNNNNNNNNNNNNNNNNNNNNNNNNNNNNNNNNNNNNNNNNNNNNNNNNNNNNNNNNNNNNNNNNNNNNNNNNNNNNNNNNNNNNNNNNNNNNNNNNNNNNNNNNNNNNNNNNNNNNNNNNNNNNNNNNNNNNNNNNNNNNNNNNNNNNNNNNNNNNNNNNNNNNNNNNNNNNNNNNNNNNNNNNNNNNNNNNNNNNNNNNNNNNNNNNNNNNNNNNNNNNNNNNNNNNNNNNNNNNNNNNNNNNNNNNNNNNNNNNNNNNNNNNNNNNNNNNNNNNNNNNNNNNNNNNNNNNNNNNNNNNNNNNNNNNNNNNNNNNNNNNNNNNNNNNNNNNNNNNNNNNNNNNNNNNNNNNNNNNNNNNNNNNNNNNNNNNNNNNNNNNNNNNNNNNNNNNNNNNNNNNNNNNNNNNNNNNNNNNNNNNNNNNNNNNNNNNNNNNNNNNNNNNNNNNNNNNNNNNNNNNNNNNNNNNNNNNNNNNNNNNNNNNNNNNNNNNNNNNNNNNNNNNNNNNNNNNNNNNNNNNNNNNNNNNNNNNNNNNNNNNNNNNNNNNNNNNNNNNNNNNNNNNNNNNNNNNNNNNNNNNNNNNNNNNNNNNNNNNNNNAGCAACUUCAAUCUAUUAUAGAAAUAUAACAAAUUGAAUCAACAUUAGGAAGAUGGUCAUAGUUCUAGCUCAUUUGAGCAUUUUAUCAAACACUAGGUGUGCAUAAGGUUUCAAGGUCCUAUUAUGAAGAAUUCCAUCAUCCCACAGCCCAAUCUUUACCAUGCUUAGUUCAACAACCUUCCUACACCCCUUGAUAUCACAUGCAUAUAAAAUAAACAACUCUUAUGCCCAACAAUUUUCUUGCUAAUUACCCAUUUUCAGAUAAUUUUGAAAUUAGGGGUUAGGGUGUAGAAUCUUACCUCUAGGAUGAAGACCUAUUGACUUUCCUUUCUUAAUCUUCCAAAACUUGGGCAAGAAUUGAAGAACACCUUCUCACUCUAGGGCACUCUCUCUCACUUUACUUUUCGAUGCAUUGUUCAACCCAAAAAGUUCGAGACGCGGUGGCACCACGAAACAUUAUUUUCUUUUGCAAAAUUUUACGAGGCCUUACAGCUUAUUACCUCGUAUUUAGGUGAAAAUAAAAAUUGGGGUCAUCUCCAACUUAUCUCUUCUCCCCUCCCCCUCCCCCCCCUCCCCCCAUUCUAUUUCUCCAUAUCUGCCCCUCCUUCAUCCCCCGCCUCUCUAUCUUUUCCUUUUCUUCUUCUUCUUUCUUUCUUCCCCCUUUUUUCCCCAUUUUUUCUGGAGGCGAUUUCGCACUACCCUAGUCCCUAGCGGCAGUGGAAACUUUGGCGGCAUCUGUUACUUUCUGCUUCCUCCCGUCUCCUCUUUCCCCUUUCUUUAUUACUGCUGGCCGAAUUCCUAGACCUAGCAGUGGCAACAUGGAUUUUUUUCAUGGAGAUGAUUCUAUGGCGAACCUCGAGCGUAGCGCGUGGGAAUUUCUAGAACAUAGCUAUUGUGGACAACAUCUUUCUCGGCACCCGUUUGGACUCCAGGUUCUACUGUUCUUGCUUAGAAUUUGCUAUUUUGUGGGUUAAUAUUUUGUCGGCUGCCUUUUAUCCUUGAUUAUUGUAUUUCCUUCAGCUUGCUUGCCUUUAUAUGCCAUUAGUUGUAUCACUAGUGUCUCUUGCGUGCUUAAGUUACAUUACAUUUCAGCUUAUAUUUAAGCUUUGUCUGCUUUAGGCUUUGCCUGCUUGUCUACAUUUGUAGUAGUUAAGGUUUAGUUUAUAUACCUUGGUAUUUGCUGGUGCAGUGGCUAUUUUGAGCGAUGGUAGUGUAAGGUCGUGUCCGCCAGUGGGUCAGCGGGUGGGUGAGCGGGUGGGGAGCAAGGGUGGCAAGGGGGGUAAAGCAUGCACAAGGUUGAGAAUUUGGAUCCUGGAAUAUAGGGACAUUGACGGGUAAGUCGAUAGAGUUGAGGAAGAUUAAUAUAGCAUGUGUCCAGCAGACUAGAUAGGGGGUACAAAGGCUCGGGAUGUUAAUGGGUAUAAGCUAUGGUAUUCGAAGGGUGUUAGGGGCAAGAACGGGGUAGGUAUUUUUGUUGAUAGGGAUCUCAAGGAGUUAGUGGUGUAUGUUAGGUUGUUGACUAUUAAGCUAGUAGUUAAUCGGUUCACCUUUAACGUGAUUAGUGCUUACGCGCCUCAAGCGGUACUGAGCGAGGAGGUCAAAAGGCGCUUCUCGGAAGAUUUGGAUGAGGUUGUACGUGGUAUUCCGCAGUCCGAGAAGAUUUUCAUCGGGGUGAUUUUAAUGGUCAUGUUGGGGAGACGGCUAGGGGCUAUGAUGAGAUGCAUGGCGGGUUCGGUUUCUGGGGUUAGGAACGAGGGCGAUACUUCGUUGUUGGAUUUUGCUAAAGCUUUUGACUUGAUUCUACCUAACACGGGUUUUUAGAAGAGGGAGGACCACUUGGUCACUUUCCGGAGUAGGGUUGCCAAGACUCAGAUUGAAUAUCUUCUCCUCAGGAAAGGUGAUAGGGGCCUUUGUACUGACUGCAAGGUUAUCCCGAGUAUCUGUCGACGCAGCAUAGGCUCUUAGUCAUGGACUUGGAGGUCAAGGGAGCAAGGAAGAAGAUCUAGUGGGGAGACUUGACUAAGGGAAAGGCUCAAGAGUUAGGGGAGAAGCUGCUAGCUAUGGGGGCCUGGAGUAGUAGUGGGGACGCGAGUAGUAUGUGGACCACGACAGCGAACUGCAUUAAGGAAGCUGCUAGGGAGGUAUUAGGGGUCUCGAAGAAUUACUCGGGUGACCACAAAGGGGACUGGUUGUGGAAUGAAGAGGUCCAAGUAAAAGUGGAAGCUAAGAAAGCAGCAUAUUUGAAGCUAGUGGGGAGCACGGAUGAGGAAGAGUAGAGGACGUGUAUGGAGUGUUAUAAGAAGGCAAGAAGAGAGGUGAAGAUCACGGUCACAGCGGCUAAGACUGCAGCCUGUGACCGAUUGUACGAGGUUCUUGGGGGUAAAGUAGGGGAUAGGAAGUUGUAUAAGUUAGCCAAGAUUAGGGAGAGGAAGGCUCGGGACCUGGAUCGAGUGAGGUACAUCAAAGACGAAGAUGGUAAGGUAUUGGUGGAAGAGGCAUGUAUCGGGCAUAGAUGGCAGGAGUACUUCCAUAAACUCUUGAACGAGGAAGGAGAAAGGCACAUCGUGGUAGGUGAGUUGGAUAAAUCAGAGAGUCAGAGAGAUUUUGGGUUUUGUAGGCGUAUUAAGUGUGAGGAGGUUGAUGUGGCAAUAUGGAAGAUGAGCAAGGGUAAGGCGACUGGGCCUGACGAGAUCCCCGUGAAAUUUUGGAAAAAAACUGGCAGGGUAGGCUUGGAGUGGCUAUCUAACUUGUUUAACGUCAUUUUCAGGACGAAGAAGAUACCCGAAGAUUGGCAGUGGAGUUUGAUGAUUCAGUUGUACAAAAACAAAGGUGAUAUCCAUAAGUGCAACAACUAUAGGGGUAUCAAGCUUUUGAGUCACACUAUGAAAGUUUGGGAGAGGGUGGUGGAGAGGAGAGUGAGGACAUGUGUAUCUAUCUUUAAGAACCUGUUUGGAUUUAUGCCGGGACAGUCAACUACAAAAGGCAUUCACCCGGUGAGACGAUUGGUGGAGCAGUAUAAGGAGAGGAAAAGGGAUUUGCACAUGGUGUUUAUUGACCUUGAGAAGGCUUAUGAAAAAGUCCCAAAGGGAGGUGAUAUGGAGAUGUUUGGAGGUUAGCGGAGUCCCGGUAGCGUACAUUAGGGUGAUUAAGGACAUGUACGAAGGUUUUAAGACUCAUGUGAGGACUGCGGGAGGAGACUCAGAACAUUUUCCUAUGGAGAUGGGGUUGCAUCAGGGAUCGACCCUUAGUCCGUUUUUGUUUGCCCUAGCGUUGGAUGUGCUAACACGAGGGUGUCAUGGUAUAUGUUAUUUGCUAAUUACAUAGUACUGAUUGACGAGACGCGAGGGGGUGUUAACGCUCGGUUGGAAGUUUGGAGACAGACGCUGGAGUCCAAAGGUUUCAAGUUGAGUAGGUCGAAAACUGAAUACUUGGAGUGCAAGUUCAGUGAUGAGUGGCAGGAAGAAGAAGUGGAAGUGAAGAUUGAUACUCAAGUCAUGCCCAAAAGAGAUAGUUUCAUGUAUCUUGGGUUUAUAAUCCAAGGCAACAAGGAGAUUGAUGAGGAUGUUACUCACCGCAUUGGAGCGAGGUGGAUGAGAUGGAGGCUAGCUUCGGGGGUUUUAUGCGAUAAGAAUAUGCCGCCUAGACUUAAGGGCAAAUUCUACAGGGUGGUGGUUAGACCGGCUAUGUUAUAUGGAGUUGAGUGUUGGCCCGUCAAGAAGGCCCAUGUCCAGAAGAUGAAAGUAGUUGAAAUGAGGAUGCUGAGAUGUAUGUGUGGGCAUACCAGGAAAGACAAUAUUAGGAAUGAAGUUAUUAUAGACAUGGUAGGAGUGGCAUCUGUAGAAGACAAGUUGCGGGAAUCGAGGUUGCGAUGGUUUGGGCAUGUGAAGAGGAGAGACAUAGAUGCCCCGGUCAGGAAGUGUGACAGGUUGACCAUGGGGGGCUUGAGGAAGGGCAGGGGUAGGCCAAAGAAGUAUUGGGGAGAGGUGAUUAGACAGUACAUGUCAUUGCUUCACCUAACCGAGGACAUGACUAGCAAUAGGAAGGUGUGGAGAUCGAGAAUUAAGGUUGUAGGUUGACAGGUAGUUGUGAGUUUCUCCUAAAUUUACCAGUAGUACUAGUACUACUCUUGUAUUCUUAGUUCUUUAUUACUUAUUGCUUGUUAAUUUAUUUUUACUGUUCCUUAAACCGAGUGUCUAUCGGAAACAACCUCUCUGUCUUUACAGGGUAGGAGUAAGGCUGCGUACAUACUACUCUCCUCAAACCUCACAUAUGAGAUUAAGCUGGAUUUGUUGUUGUUUGUUGUUAUCUCCGACUUAUGUGUUCUUUUUUGUUUGUACGUAUUUUUCCUCGGUAAAUAAAGCCUCUAAUUACCAUUAAAAAAUUGGUGGUCUGUGAAGAAUUAGUAUUGUUUGCUCGAGGACAAAAUGAUCAUUAAGAUUUCCAAGAAUAUUUUGUAAAAAUACUUGUGAUUUAAGGUGUCUUUUUAUUUAGUAAUUAUAAUGAUGAUACUCCUUGUUUCAAUUUAGAUAAGGUAGUUUGAUUGUACGGAGUUUAAAAAAAAGAAAAUUUUAAAACUUGUGGUCUUAAAAAAUUAAGGGGUAAAAGUUUUGUGAUAUUUGUAUGGUUAUAAAAGCUUAUCAUUAAGGGUAAAAUAAAAAGUUUAAAAUUAAAUUAUUUUUAAUUAUAAAAAUAUGUCAUCCUUUUUUGAACGGAAUAAUAAAGAAAGUGUGUAAUUUAAAUUGAAACUGGCGGAGUACUUGUUCUCAUGGAAAAAAAAUGACAAUUUUACUUCAAAAGGCCAUUUUGAGGAAGUACAGAUUAAAAAAGAAAUGGUAUCCAUCCAUCUUGAAAUCAUAAACUCCACAAAAUUCAGAAUUGAGGAGAGUUUUAUAUCUGCCUCAAAAACCUCACAAUUCUUCUUUCACUGUCCACAUUUUUUUGCCCAGCAGAACUAUCCAAAAUUCAAACUUGCAAGAAUUGAAAUUUCAUGAGCCUCUUCUAGGCCAAAACAGUGGAGAAAACCGACUCAACAAACCACAAGUUAUGAACCAAGUUGAUAAUACUAACCGAACGACAUAGAAAAGAAAAUCCUUCCAAUCCGAACCAUAUAAACUCCAAGAAUGUCCACGAACGAAUGCUCAAUUUGAUCCCCUGCAUCCUUCCGAGUCUUGAUCGGCGAAGUUUCUUCAAGAAUGGGUCUCAUCAAUGCUACAUAAUUUUCAAGAACUAAAUUUUCAUGGAAGUCUUGAACUCACUACUGUGAGAAAGUAAUGCAAGACACAAAUGUAUCCGGGUCGUGGCUAAGAAAAAGAAGAAAAAAAAUCGAGAAGCAGAAUUCUCCACAAAGAAAAGAUUUACGACAUCGAGUCAUUAGGGUUUCUUUUUUCUUUUUUCAUGGCACCUAAGAGUUCUUCUGUUGGAGUAGUAUUUUUUCUUUGCCUAUUCUCGUGGAAGUAUGCACAAUAGACAAGGGGGCGUGGCCUUUUCAAGGGGAAAAAAAAACAAGGAAUGGAUCACGGACCGGAUCUGGAGGUUUCGGCCGUAACAAAUGUCAAUGUCCGGUUUAGGAGACGAAACUGACGUUCACCUGCCAGCCUAAUUGACCCCGGAAUCGUAUCCGGCUUUCCAGCCACGGGCUACUGAAAUAUCCGGUUCUCCUAUUCACCAAACCGGUCCAGUCCUUAUUUUGACCCUUAAAUUAUAGAAGCAAAUGGUCGGGUCAACCCGAACUUCAAAAUUCCCGACUUACAAUCCCAACCGGUCAUCCUUCGACUUUCUCUCUUUGUAUAAAGUAAAAGGGCAAAAAAAAACCAAUCCGCAAUCCCAAACUCGGUUUCUCCCAUCUUUCUCUUCUCAAAAAAGCGGAAAAACAAUUUACAAGUAAGUUUUCUAUUUUACGCCUUGAGAUUAUUCAUUUUAUCCUUAUAAGU